Molecule: long non-coding RNA, 859 nt
Filed under: Physcomitrium patens
Lineage: Eukaryota; Viridiplantae; Streptophyta; Bryopsida; Funariales; Funariaceae
Description: long non-coding RNA (PPAT_LNC011315)
Source: RNAcentral
AGUUCUCUUUGUCGAUCCGCCACCGACAAGCUCUCUCCCUUCUGCAGUAAUUGGCAAAAGUGGUUGUUAGCUUGAAGGAUGCCGUGAAAUAACUAGCUUCGCUCAGAAACAAGCUGAGGAUGAGAGAGCAAGAGCUUCAUGGCACAUGGUUGCUCAUAGUUGCUUGUCCUCAGAUUCAUGAGGGUGGAUGGGAAUAUGGGUAGUAAGCAUGGAGUUGGGGCUCCACCGUGACGCUUGCCUACCCUUGGUUCGUAAAACGUGGAUGGCGUGAUGUGGUUCUUCAAUGCCGUGACAGUGUCAGCCAGUGGCGAAGAGGCUUGAGAUUUUUGCUGAAUUUGAGUAGUUCUGCCAUUGUUGCUAAUCCGCGUCUGGCCACGCGUUAGGACAGGAGGCGCGCGAAGGGCAUGGUCAAGGGUUAGUGCCGAUCGGCCCUAAUACUACCUUUUCUAAGCAUCACUGGCGAGCGCGAAGAAAGGGAAGUUUGUAGCGAUGUCAUGUGCCGAUACAGUUUAAAGUCCAGGAUACACGGCCAGCGACCACUUCUGACCGAAGCAUAAUCCCCGGAUGAAAAGUCGUGGGGUUUGGAGACAAUCAAAAUCCUCCAUCUGCGAGAUUUCUUGAUAUCCAUGAGACCUUAUCAAACAUCAUACUGCCUUUUUUCGACCCACAUGUCCAAAGAUGGUCAGCGCUAGCACCCGCUUCGGUUUCCAUCAAUCGAAAGACGAGAGUACCAACCUCGCAACUCCGAUUGUGUGACGAUUGUUUACUGGUCUUACACAAUCAGGCAUAUGUGGUACCUCAGGUCAAGGACCGAAACUAUCAUUCCGCUCGUCUUAGAAAGUCAUUAUUUUAUUUGCCG